Molecule: long non-coding RNA, 295 nt
Filed under: Citrus maxima (pomelo)
Lineage: Eukaryota; Viridiplantae; Streptophyta; Magnoliopsida; Sapindales; Rutaceae
Description: long non-coding RNA (CMAX_LNC003032)
Source: RNAcentral
AACCACUUGGGCUUAGCCCAAGUGGCCAGAGUCACUCCCUCACAAAUGUGAGGGAAGUGGUUCGAGCCUCCGCAGACGUAUUGUAGGGGUUUGAUUUCAAUUUCCUUCCUUGGAGCCCCAGAGCUUGAGUGAAGGCAGUCUUUCUCCCAGAAUGGGAGUUGACGUCCCUCGAAUAUUUGAGAGGGUUAAAAAUCUGAGCGGUGCCAUAUCAAAAUUGAUGUAAACGGGUCUCAGUAUAUAUAUGAUUGUAAAUGUCAUCAUGAGCAAUAGUUCUCAUUCAAAAAAAAAAAAAAAG